GCAGAGGUGGUGGAAUGGUAGACACGCUAUCUUGAGGGGGUAGUGGAGAUUCUCCGUGAGGGUUCGACUCCCUUCCUCUGCACCA
Molecule: transfer RNA, 85 nt
Filed under: Tissierellia bacterium
Lineage: Bacteria; Bacillati; Bacillota; Tissierellia
Description: tRNA-Leu
Rfam family: tRNA
About the family: Transfer RNA (tRNA) molecules are approximately 80 nucleotides in length. Their secondary structure includes four short double-helical elements and three loops (D, anti-codon, and T loops).
Source: RNAcentral